RNAcentral lists this long non-coding RNA (265 nucleotides) under Elaeis guineensis (African oil palm). RNAcentral's name for it is "long non-coding RNA (EGUI_LNC022031)". Lineage: Eukaryota; Viridiplantae; Streptophyta; Magnoliopsida; Arecales; Arecaceae. The record is from RNAcentral.
ACUUAGUGAUUGAGCCUGAGUCUCUAAUUAGACCAAAUUAAAAUAGAUAAACCGAUUGAUGUCUAAAGUAAAUUUGGCAGUCUUGAUUGGUGGUCAUUAAUUAAGAUCUACCCGCAUAGAUUGAGUCUAUGACGAGUUAAUGACAUAUUUCUCCUAUCAUUCUUGCUUACCUGACCAAUGUGGUUGAUCUAUGAUCAAUUAGGCUACUCAUUGACUCGAGCUAACCCAUAUCACAUAGGUGAAUCAGUAUGACUGAUUUAAGUAU